This is a long non-coding RNA of Larimichthys crocea (large yellow croaker), 945 nucleotides long. RefSeq lists it as uncharacterized. The record is from RefSeq and is a predicted model, not a curated record. NCBI's taxonomy places the organism in Eukaryota, Metazoa, Chordata, Actinopteri, Sciaenidae. The transcript is spliced from 5 exons.
GUGUCGCCACGGCCACACUCCACCACACUUUGGUUCAUCAGGCCCGUUUCCCUCUACAGCCUGCCCGCAUUGUGUCGCUCUACCGGGCCGACUCUAUCACGGUUAAUACGGCCCCCCCGACAGAUAGCCGACAGGGCCGCAUAAACAGUAAAUAUGGCGCCCAUUUCAGCCAUUUUGUGUGAAGUCGUCAGGACAAGAGUGAAUCCAUUACAUACACACCACCUUCCUGCACGACGCUGGAAACAAACCCGAGUAAAUCCAGGAUAUAAAGUUACAUAACAUGGUGUGUGUGAGUGUUAGCCUGCUAUUUGGUUUGACAUUUAAAACUGAACCACAGGCACAAAUUUUUGGUAGCUUACAGACAUUUAAACAAGUCAAAACAGAAAGUGGCCUAGUGUUAGGCACAAAAUGAGCAACUCAAGUGAGUGGGGCGAUACUGAUACAACGUGAUCCAGUUCAGCUGGGUGAAAAUGACUGUAAAGAAAGAUCAUAAGAAGCCCGGAGGCGGCAGCCAAGGUGGCGGCGGCCGUGGCGGCCAGAGCCUUCACAAUGGAAACCUGUGGGUGACCUCAUGGAUACUGCACGGCGGCAGUAAGAAUCUCUGCAGCUGAUUUUCAUCAGCAGAUACCACUUGUGCAUGCCGUCGUCGUCUGAGUCAGGAUGGAGAGAUGAGGACGGGGCAUCCCACUCACCCUCUGCAUGGCCGGAGACACUGCUGAGCUGCUGUCAUGGCAACAGCAGCAGUCACCACCACCACCAGCAGCAUGGGCCUAUAAUGCACAGGCCAGGAGGAGUCACACACAAAACACACACACACACACACACACACACACACACACACACACAAUGAGAGCAGGGCAGGUCCAGAUUCUGAAUGUGUGUCCUUACAUCUGAAAGUGACAGAGGACACGUUGUAUAGUAAUUUAAUUUAAUUUUUGAGGACAA